RNAcentral lists this long non-coding RNA (574 nucleotides) under Bos taurus (domestic cattle). RNAcentral's name for it is "long non-coding RNA NONBTAT015188". Lineage: Eukaryota; Metazoa; Chordata; Mammalia; Artiodactyla; Bovidae. The record is from RNAcentral.
CAAAACUCUGUACAGUAUGACUAAUUACAUAAAAAUUAUGCACAAAAAAAUCUCCAAAGUAAUUACUAAUUACAAAAGAGCAUGUUAACAGUAAAACCCAAAUAAAAACUAAACUAUUUAGAUCAAGUAACUACUACAUAAUUCAUAAAUGACGGUAAACUGGUAACUCUUCUAAAGUACAAUAGAUCCUAUUCUAUUCCGUUCAUUUUAAUAAGCAGUAUCACUAUACUAGCUUAUAAUGGCUAAAUACCAGUCCUGGAUAAUAGUCUUAGUUCUUACCAGCUUGAAUGUAUUUUAUGAAAUACACAAUUAACAUAUUUUAUCGCAUUUUUCUCAAAUCUGUACAUUUUAUAAAGUAAAUAGUCUGACUUUAUGCCCAAAUUUUGAAAUAUAAAUUCUCUGAAAUUAAAAAUUCAUCCAAACUCACACAAUUCAAAAACUAACAGAGCAAGUGAUUUGUACAUUGUAUCUAUUCUAUUGCUAAAUGGCCAGAGUCACUUAGUAAACAGAGAAAUGUUCAUUAUCUUUUUCCUCAGGAUUAAUUUUUAAUUCGAGAUCUUUAGGAAAUGAAUUC